GUCUACAGCCAUGCCACCCUGAACAAGCCCAAUCCCGUCUGAUCUCGGAAGCUAAGCAGGGUCGGGCCUGGUUAGUACUUGGAUGGAAGACCACCUAGGAAGAUCAGGUGCUGUAGGCU
This 119-nucleotide ribosomal RNA is filed under the name Pteropus alecto (black flying fox). Lineage: Eukaryota; Metazoa; Chordata; Mammalia; Chiroptera; Pteropodidae. The record is from RNAcentral.